GGUUGGGGUUGCCAGUAUGUCAGAUCACCUCUAGGGUCUCCCUUAGCACCACCACAGAACGCAGCUCUUGGAGAUGCUCACCCAGCAACGGAUGGAGAAGACGGAGCACAGACCAAGCGCGGCCAGACGUAAGAUGAAGCUGAAAGAGCUUUUCCGGAAGACUCUACCAAGGCGGCUGCCAAAUGUGGCAUCUAAGCCUGGCAUGAAAGAAGGAAAGGGAGUGUGGCAGAGGAACCAAAGAGGAAACACAGGGCCUGCAGGAUCCCAUGAAACUGCCUUCCCUAGAAUGUCAACUCCCUGACUGAAGGGCCUUUGGUCACUGGUGCAUCCCAGAACUCAGAAGAGUGCUUGGCAUACAGUAGAUGCUCAAUAAUGUGAAUGAAAAUCAUCUGAAAGACCUGCUCCUUCCUGCCUCUC
Molecule: long non-coding RNA, 417 nt
Organism: Lontra canadensis (Northern American river otter)
Lineage: Eukaryota; Metazoa; Chordata; Mammalia; Carnivora; Mustelidae
Exons: 3
Source: RefSeq, a predicted model, not a curated record